GGUUAAGCGACUAAGCGUACACGGUGGAUGCCCUGGCAGUCAGAGGCGAUGAAGGACGUGCUAAUCUGCGAAAAGCGCCGGCGAGGUGAUAUGAACCCUUGACCCGGCGAUGUCCGAAUGGGGAAACCCAGUGCAAUCCGUUGCACUAUCGUUAACUGAAUACAUAGGUUAACGAGGCGAACCGGGGGAACUGAAACAUCUAAGUACCCCGAGGAAAAGAAAUCAACCGAGAUUCCCCCAGUAGCGGCGAGCGAACGGGGAGCAGCCCGGAGUCUGAAUCAGCUUGUGUGUUAGUGGAACGGUCUGGAAAGUCCGACGGUACAGGGUGAUAGUCCCGUACACGAAAGCACACUUGCUGUGAACUCGAAGAGUAGGGCGGGACACGUGGUAUCCUGUCUGAAUAUGGGGGGACCAUCCUCCAAGGCUAAAUACUCCUGACUGACCGAUAGUGAACCAGUACCGUGAGGGAAAGGCGAAAAGAACCCCGGCGAGGGGAGUGAAAAAGAACCUGAAACCGUGUACGUACAAGCAGUGGGAGCCUCUUUAUGGGGUGACUGCGUACCUUUUGUAUAAUGGGUCAGCGACUUAUAUUCUGUAGCAAGGUUAACCGUAUAGGGGAGCCGAAGGGAAACCGAGUCUUAACUGGGCGUUAAGUUGCAGGGUAUAGACCCGAAACCCGGUGAUCUAGCCAUGGGCAGGUUGAAGGUUGGGUAACACUAACUGGAGGACCGAACCGACUAAUGUUGAAAAAUUAGCGGAUGACCUGUGGCUGGGGGUGAAAGGCCAAUCAAACCGGGAGAUAGCUGGUUCUCCCCGAAAGCUAUUUAGGUAGCGCCUCGUGAACUCAUCUUCGGGGGUAGAGCACUGUUUCGGCUAGGGGGCCAUCCCGGCUUACCAACCCGAUGCAAACUACGAAUACCGAAGAAUGUUAUCACGGGAGACACACGGCGGGUGCUAACGUCCGUCGUGAAGAGGGAAACAACCCAGACCGCCAGCUAAGGUCCCAAAGUCAUGGUUAAGUGGGAAACGAUGUGGGAAGGCACAGACAGCCAGGAUGUUGGCUUAGAAGCAGCCAUCAUUUAAAGAAAGCGUAAUAGCUCACUGGUCGAGUCGGCCUGCGCGGAAGAUGUAACGGGGCUAAACCAUGCACCGAAGCUGCGGCAGCGACACUAUGUGUUGUUGGGUAGGGGAGCGUUCUGUAAGCCGUUGAAGGUGUGCUGUGAGGCAUGCUGGAGGUAUCAGAAGUGCGAAUGCUGACAUAAGUAACGAUAAAGCGGGUGAAAAGCCCGCUCGCCGGAAGACCAAGGGUUCCUGUCCAACGUUAAUCGGGGCAGGGUGAGUCGACCCCUAAGGCGAGGCCGAAAGGCGUAGUCGAUGGGAAACAGGUUAAUAUUCCUGUACUUGGUGUUACUGCGAAGGGGGGACGGAGAAGGCUAUGUCAGCCGGGCGACGGUUGUCCCGGUUUAAGCAUGUAGGCGGAGGUUCCAGGUAAAUCCGGUACCUUAUUAACGCUGAGGUGUGAUGACGAGGCACUACGGUGCUGAAGUGAUAAAUGCCCUGCUUCCAGGAAAAGCCUCUAAGCAUCAGGUAACACGAAAUCGUACCCCAAACCGACACAGGUGGUCAGGUAGAGAAUACCAAGGCGCUUGAGAGAACUCGGGUGAAGGAACUAGGCAAAAUGGUGCCGUAACUUCGGGAGAAGGCACGCUGAUGUGUAGGUGAAGCCCCUGCGGGCGGAGCUGAAAUCAGUCGAAGAUACCAGCUGGCUGCAACUGUUUAUUAAAAACACAGCACUGUGCAAACACGAAAGUGGACGUAUACGGUGUGACGCCUGCCCGGUGCCGGAAGGUUAAUUGAUGGGGUUAGCGGCAACGCGAAGCUCUUGAUCGAAGCCCCGGUAAACGGCGGCCGUAACUAUAACGGUCCUAAGGUAGCGAAAUUCCUUGUCGGGUAAGUUCCGACCUGCACGAAUGGCGUAAUGAUGGCCAGGCUGUCUCCACCCGAGACUCAGUGAAAUUGAACUCGCUGUGAAGAUGCAGUGUACCCGCGGCAAGACGGAAAGACCCCGUGAACCUUUACUAUAGCUUGACACUGAACACUGGUCCUUGAUGUGUAGGAUAGGUGGGAGGCUUUGAAGCGUGGACGCCAGUCUG
This 2153-nucleotide ribosomal RNA is filed under the name Enterobacter hormaechei subsp. steigerwaltii. RNAcentral describes it as "partial 23S ribosomal RNA". It matches the Rfam family "Bacterial large subunit ribosomal RNA", at positions 1 to 2178 of the family's 2925-position model. The record is from RNAcentral. Lineage: Bacteria; Pseudomonadati; Pseudomonadota; Gammaproteobacteria; Enterobacterales; Enterobacteriaceae.